UUGGUUAGCAAUGCGAAUGACACACGACAGAACCUGUCUUCUUCUGUGGUUCCUCAGCGUUUUCAUCAUUUUUUUCCUUGUGGAUUGUUCCCUGCAUUUGAGUUCGCUUGGACCCAGGAUCAAGGCAAACUCCUCGCUCUGAUCUGGAUAUGGCAAUAGACAUUCUGAUGGAGCAGUGAAACAGGACGCAGGAGGAUAUAAUACUCUCACUGUAUAAAAGGCUCCCACCAUGAGUCUGUCACUUUAAGAGCCUUUUGCUCAUUUGCAUUUACGUCACGUUCCUUUUUCCCAUCGUUCCCUUUUCCCAUCGUUCCUUUUCCCUAUGUGUGGAGCUCGUGUUCGGUCGUGGUCGCGUCGGGUCCUAGUUCAGCAGCACUCAAGCGUUUGAGUGACUGAGCAGAAGUAAGUUGAGCUUCACUCAUGUUAAGCACCGUGUUGUACGGAUGCACAUGUUGCACAGGUCGUUGUUUAUAUGUGUCCGUAACGCUUGUCCCAGAGUCCGAGUUGCGUGUAGUUCUAUGUCGGUCACUAGAUGUCGCCGUUGGGCCGUUUAUGGAUCUGUGUUGCUUGUGUUGUAUGUGGACUUAGAGACGCCUGCAUCUUUGUUCAGUAGUUAGUAACCUGACGUGAAUUGUGAUUUCCUUUAUUACAGAAACUAAUAUUGAUGCUGUACUGAGUGCUGCAAAUAAACACCUCUGAAUCAGGACCAUCCUCCUCCUCUCUUCGACCUCCUCCGGUAUUCUAAUCGAUACCCCAUCUUGAACUGCUGUAGCACCUAAUUGAACCCGUGCAAUCACUCCUGUUUAUUUGGUCCUUCGAGCCGGAUACAGCGUCCAAGAUGGACUCAGAUGGAGAGAUCCACCCUGUCGUCAGACCUCGGCGACGAACACGUCCUCCUGUCAGACUUCUAGACUUUGAAGUGGAGUAUGCAGGCAUCCCUCACAGUGGACAGAAGGGAUUAACAUCAUCAACCACCAGAGAAGAUUUAUCGCGUACCAUGCCCCGCUAUUCAGACCAAGCCCCCUACAGUGGACUUUCAGGGCUUGCGGCUCAACCAGAGACCCCUCGACGAACCCCCGGUCAUCUCCAGGGAAGCGACUGGCACUGUCCCGAUAACCCUUCACCUUCCUACUCAAGUCAGGAGCCCUACUACUCCGAGAUGAGAGCCAUCCAAGAGGAGAAUGCUCGACUUAUGCAACAACAACAAGUUUUUCAGUCCGGCAUGAGAGCACUGGACGAGGCGCGGUGCGAGAUUAAAGAGCUCCUCCAGUUGGCCUGUUCCUUGAAAGCAGACAUUGGUCAAGCUGCUAGUCGAGCUCCAUCACGCAUAGGUCGGGAGCCAAGACCUGUCGUCGUUGGUUGCCAAACCUAUAGUGCAACAGAUGAAGACGAGGAAGAGAACUGGCCUGAUCCUCCACCCUGGCCCUCAGCGGAGACUGACCUUUAUGACAGUAUUCACAACCUUCAGCUUGAUCAACGACAACAUGCUGGUCCAAUCUACUACGCGGACAACGCUGCUGCCUACCCUCCUCCCCCUCCACCGCUGGUGAAACCAGGCCAACCAGAUCACUCCCAUGCUUCGGGACCCUUUCCCCGAAGACAACCGACUUUCUCACAGCCACGGCUUAUUCCCUCCUACCCAGGCCGCACACGCCCCACGUCUACAUCAGCCUAUCAGCUUCCAGAAGUCUAUGCAACGUCACCCAACCCGGGUCGUCAUGUGCCUGAGCAGGUAUAUAGAGGCCCACAGCCGACCAUCCCAAAGUUCCUGCACCCUGACCCAAGUGAGUUUGCGAGGCUUCGCAUAGCUUUGGAAAACCUCCUGCCAGUCGAUGCUACUGAACUCUUUAAGUACCAAGUACUGGUUGAUCAUUUAAAGUUCGAUGAAGCCAAACUCAUAGCGGAUGCUUAUUUAAACUCACCAACCCCCUACACUCACACAAUGAUGGCCCUACAUGACAAGUUUGGCCAACCUCAUCACCUGGCUCUACGAAAAAUAGCUAGCGUAUUAGAGGCCCCUGAAGUUAGGCGGGGAGAUGCCGCAGCAUUCCAAAGGUUUUCACUUCAAAUCCAGUCAUUGGUAGGCCUGUUGCAGACCCUGGGACCUGAAGGUGAAAUUGAACUGAACUGUGGCUCACAUGUAGCUCGAUUGCUGAGCAAACUACCUCCAGAACAGCGAGCUGACUUUCGUAGACACCAGGGCAAGCAACCAAGAGCUGGACAUACAUUGUAUGAGCUAUCCGAGUGGCUCCGUUAUGAGUCAUGGUGUCAAGGAUUCGAUAAUCAGCUCGGGGGAAGAGGAAGCCGAGAUCGAAGCUAUGCUAAGAGUGAGAGCCCCAAGAAACAAACAACUACAAUCCUGCAUGGUGCUGAAGAGCCACCAGUGCCCCCCAUACAGCCAGGUAAAGAGAGUCCAGUGAAGAACCAAACUAAGACAAAAGCCUACUGUGCUUACUGUGAGAGCAAGGAGCAUUAUUUCAGUCAAUGCAGUGACGUCGCCAAGCUUUCCAAAGAUCAACUGAAAGAAUGGAUCCAGGCUAAUAAUCGGUGCUGGCGAUGUGCUCGGCAACACCAAGCAGCACAGUGCACAUUGAAGAAAGCCUGCAACAUUUGCCAGAAGAAACACCUAUUGGCCCUUCACGAAAUAAAUACAAGAGCAACAAGUGGGAGCAUGAAUACUGCAGUUAGAGAAGAAGCCUGCCUAACUAGUUCCACCUCAGAUGCCCUCUACCUUGACCGUCAUGGAACUGGGAACAGAGUCCUAUUGAAAGUUGUGCCAGUGCUCGUACAGUAUGGGAAGCGAACUCUGGAGACCUUUGCCAUUCUAGAUGACGGGUCAGAGAGAACUAUGCUUCUCCCUGCUGCAGCUAAGUUCCUUGAUAUGAAGGGCCUUCCUGAAGAUCUCCCACUGCGGACAGUACGUCAGGACAUCCAGGUGCUCCAUGGCCAUAAGGUGUCUUUCAGCGUCUCCCCAGCUACCAACCCUGAGAACAGAUACAACAUUGCAGGAGCGUUCACAGCUAGCCGUCUCAGCCUGGCUCAGCACAGCUAUCCUGUUGAUCGCCUGCAGAGGAGGUUUCGACACCUCAGAGGGCUUCCCAUUCCAGCUUUGAAGGGAGCCCAGCCCUCCCUUCUCAUUGGAUCAGAUCAGCCUCAUCUUAUCACCCCUGUGGAGCCUGUCCGGCUUGGACCGCCUGGGGGUCCAGCAGCUAUCCACACAAGACUCGGGUGGACCCUCCAGGGUCCUGUGAGAAGCACGGGGCGGCUCACUGACGAAACCCAGUGUCUCUUCAUAUCCUCACCAUCGACUGGCGAUGAAUUGUUCAAGCACGUCAAAAGGCUUUGGGAGAUAGAUACAGUCCCCUACCGAAACGAGAAAGAGGCUACUCGUUCAAAGCAAGAUAAGCUGGCUGUUGCGGUGCUUGAGACCAAGACUGCCCGGACCAAGGUGGAUGGAAUUUCGAGGUAUGCCACCCCAUUGUUGCGCCAUCCCAACAUGCCACAGCUCAGUGCUCCAACUGAUUCAGUCAUGCCGCUGUUGCGUAGCACCGAGAGACGUCUCCGUAAGAACCCUAUUCAAGCUAAAGCCUAUAAGGUGGAGAUGCAAAGGCUCAUCGACUCUGGCAUUGUGCAAGAAGUGGCUCCUGAAACCAUUCCACCAAAAGAAUGUUGGUAUAUUCCUCACCACCUUGUCAGCCACAAUGGAAAAAAUCGCCUUGUGUUUAACUGUUCACACCAAUACUUGGGACAGACCCUUAACCAAUACCUUCUUCCUGGACCUACUCUUGGCGCUUCCCUGCUCGGAGUCCUGCUAAGGUUCCGUGAAUAUCCUGUGGCGGUUAGUGGAGACAUCAAAGGAAUGUUCCACCAGGUUCGACUCCUACCUGAAGAUCGACCACUGUUGCGGUUCCUGUGGCGUGACCUAAAUGGGGAUGAAGCUCCCAAGGUAUAUGAGUGGCAAGUCCUUCCAUUUGGCACCACAUGUAGCCCAUGCUGUGCCACUUACGCCCUGCAGAGUCACGUUGCAGCCAACAGCCAGCCAGGUGAUAAGCUGAGAUUUUCAGUUGAAAAGUGUUUCUAUGUGGACAACUGCCUGCAGAGUGUGUGCACUCCUGAUGAAGCAAAACUUUUAGUUGAUCAGCUCAGAGAACUUCUGGCCCCCGCCGGUUUUGAUCUGCGACAAUGGGCCUGCAACAAUCCAGAUGCCCUGAGUCACCUACCUCAUGAAGCCAGGUCAGAGAGCCUUGACCUGUGGCUUAUGCAGGACAAGUCAAACCCCCUCGAGUCAACACUUGGCCUCAGUUGGAACUGGAGCACGGACACCCUGAGUUAUAAACAUCGGCCAGUGACCUAUGAGAUACCUACCUUGAGGAACAUCUAUCGAGUUCUUGCCUCUCAAUAUGACCCUUUAGGCCUCCUACUGCCCUUCUCUACUCGGGCCAAGCUCAUCAUUCGGCAGCUAUGGGACAAGCAGCGCAGCUGGGAUGAUCCCAAUCUACCUCCCGAGCUCCUACAGGCCUGGUCAAACUGGGAGGCCGAACUGCAGUCCCUACCUCACCUAUCCUUCCCACGACCAUAUAUGCCUAAGGACAUCCAGCUAGAGGGUGCUACUCACGAGAUCCACAUUUUUGCAGAUGCCUCUGAGCAGGUCUACGGAGCAGUUGCCUACCUCAGGACACAAAGCCCUUCUGUAGGGACCUGCUUGUCAUUCAUCAUGGCUCGAUCAAGAGUGGCCCCCAAGCGUAUCCAAUCCAUUCCACGCCUAGAACUCUGUGCAGCCCUGGUGGGUGCCAAAUUAGCCUAUCUCAUUGAGAAAGAACUCACCCUGAAUCUGGACCGCAUUGUAUUGUGGUCAGACUCCACAACUGUUUUGACCUGGUUACAAUCUCAGUCCUGCCGGUACAAGGCCUUUGUAGGGGUGAGAGUAGCAGAGAUACAGGAGUUAACUGAGAAGUGCACUUGGCGCUAUGUUGAGUCCGAGAAUAACCCAGCCGAUGACCUGACUAGGGGGAAGACCCUAGCAUCUCUGGUAGAGCCAAAUAGAUGGGUUUGUGGACCUACCUUCCUCCUCCAAAGCCCUGAACAUUGGCCUGAGCAACCUUCCCUGGCAUCAGCCGAAGAGGAAACCGAGCUCCGAAAGGUCACUCACUGUGGACUAACAGCUACUUCACCCCCUCUUACAGGUGACAAGGUGCACAACACAUGGCAGGAGCUCAUAGAUGCCACUGUACAAGACAUGUACCAGUCAGAGACAUGUAGUCCUUCCCUGAUCGCAGAGCAUUACCACCAAGCGGAGAAUCAGGUCCUUAGACUAGCCCAACAACAGUCCUUUCCUGAAGACUACAAGCUCCUAGCAGCAGGCAAGCCCGUCUCAGCGGGGAGUCGCUUGCUCACCCUCUCCCCAGAAAUGGACAUGUCAUUGAACCUUAUCAGGGUCGGCGGUCGGUUCAGACGUUUGGCCGGUCAAGAACACCCAUCAUUGCACCCUAUAGUCCUGGAUGCCUCUCACCCUACGACACACCUACUUGUCCAGAAGUACGAUAAAGACCUACACCACCCUGGCUCAGAACGGGUCUUUGCGGAGCUGCGAAGAUCAUACUGGAUCCUUCGAGGGCGGGAACUGAUUCGAAGAUACCAACGUACGUGUCCUGACUGUCAACGCUGGCGAGCGCGGCCUUCUGUUCCUAGGAUGGCAGAUCUCCCUGUUGCCCGCCUCAGACUGCACAAGCCAGCAUUCUACUCCACAGGCGUGGAUUGUUUUGGGCCUAUGGUGGUGAAAGUUGGAAGACGACAUGAGAAACGCUGGGGGCUCAUAUUUAAAUGUAUGACGACCAGAGCUGUGCACCUGGAUCUCCUCAAUAGCCUGGAUGCUGAUGCUUACCUGAUGGCCUUGCGGAGAUUCAUUGCAAGAAGAGGAACCCCUGCAGAGGUGUGGUCAGACAGAGGGACCAACUUUAAAGCUGGAGAAAGAGAACUCCAAGAGGCCUAUAGCAGCAUGGUCCAAAGCUUGCAAAUCCAACUGGCACAGCAACAGAUCAAGUUCUGUUUCAAUCCUCCAGCGGCCCCACACUUCGGAGGAGUGUGGGAAAGGGAAAUUCGGUCGGUCAAAGCUGCCCUCUAUGCCUGCCUAGGCUCCCAACCAGUCCAAGAAGAGGUCCUACUUACCGUUCUGCUGGAAGUCGAAGCCAUCCUCAACUCAAAGCCAUUAGGCUACGUGUCCGCGGAUAUUGCAGAUCUCGACCCCAUCACUCCAAAUAGCCUACUCAUGGGGCGGCCUGAUGGAUCCCUCCCCCAAGUAGUCUACCCAGAAACAGAGAUUCUGAGCCGUAAACGAUGGAGGCACUCCCAGGUUCUUGCGGAUCAGUUUUGGUCCAGGUUCAUCAGGGAAUAUCUACCCAGUCUGCAGGUCCGCCAGAAAUGGAAUUCCUCCCCUCCUGAACUCCUGAACGAAGCAGUCGUCAUGGUGGUGGAGCCUCAAUUGCCACGCGCCCAAUGGUCUGUAGGACGCGUGGUGAAAGUUCAUCGCAGUACUGACGGGUGCAUCCGGUCAGCUGAUGUGAACAUCAAGGGACAUGUCUACACUCGACCAGUUGCCCGGCUCGUGGUGCUACCUGCUAUUCCAUCUGGGGAGGAAGAACCUCCACCGUGUUCAGGGUCAAUGGUCAGGAACGGUUAAGAUUUAUUGUAGCAAAUGUGCCUUACACAUUUGGGGGCGGCUGUAUAAAAGGCUCCCACCAUGAGUCUGUCACUUUAAGAGCCUUUUGCUCAUUUGCAUUUACGUCACGUUCCUUUUUCCCAUCGUUCCCUUUUCCCAUCGUUCCUUUUCCCUAUGUGUGGAGCUCGUGUUCGGUCGUGGUCGCGUCGGGUCCUAGUUCAGCAGCACUCAAGCGUUUGAGUGACUGAGCAGAAAAACUAAUAUUGAUGCUGUACUGAGUGCUGCAAAUAAACACCUCUGAAUCAGGACCAUCCUCCUCCUCUCUUCGACCUCCUCCGGUAUUCUAAU
RNA transcript from Synchiropus splendidus (mandarinfish), 7003 nucleotides. RefSeq lists it as uncharacterized. NCBI's taxonomy places the organism in Eukaryota, Metazoa, Chordata, Actinopteri, Syngnathiformes, Callionymidae. The transcript is spliced from 2 exons. The record is from RefSeq and is a predicted model, not a curated record.